UGCAAGUCCUUCCCCCGAUGGCUUGAGC
This 28-nucleotide non-coding RNA is filed under the name Mus musculus (house mouse). The record is from RNAcentral. Lineage: Eukaryota; Metazoa; Chordata; Mammalia; Rodentia; Muridae.